CCCUUAUGAGGAGUGAGAUCCUCUUCCCUCCUAUAAAUAGAUGGUCUGCUCCAUCACAAAUCAUCACAAGAACAAAAACAAUACAUAAAAAAUAGUUUAUAGGAAAGGGGAGAGAAACCUUAUCUUCCACCUAAAGAUUAUCUAAGAGUUUCGUGUCAAAUUUUCAAGCCAAUAAAGAAGAAGAAACUAUUCAAAGAAGCAUAAUUUCUAAAAUGAGUGAAGGGAUCCUCAGCCACAAACCACGUCCGGUCUCCAUUGAUGGUUGUAGCAUUAAUUAGCAACGCUCACGGCAGUAGGAGUUGCCAUUGAAUCGGGUUUCACCCACCUACACUUCGCUUUAAACUCACAACUGCUAGUCAAAGCUCUUAAUUAAUGGGAAGUUCUAGUUAAAGGAACUUCAUGAAAUUCUACACGAUAUCCUUAUCCUGUCUACUACUUUUGUUACAUGCUCUUUUGUUUACACUCCUAAAUAUCUAAUUUGCCAAGCAGAUGCUUUGGCAAAAUAA
This is a long non-coding RNA of Camelina sativa (false flax), 506 nucleotides long. RefSeq lists it as uncharacterized. Lineage: Eukaryota; Viridiplantae; Streptophyta; Magnoliopsida; Brassicales; Brassicaceae. The record is from RefSeq and is a predicted model, not a curated record.